UUUUAUGGAGAGUUUGAUCCUGGCUCAGGAUGAACGCUGGCGGCGUGCCUAAUACAUGCAAGUCGAGCGAACGGACGAGAAGCUUGCUUCUCUGAUGUUAGCGGCGGACGGGUGAGUAACACGUGGAUAACCUACCUAUAAGACUGGGAUAACUUCGGGAAACCGGAGCUAAUACCGGAU
RNAcentral lists this ribosomal RNA (180 nucleotides) under Staphylococcus aureus. Its description in RNAcentral is "Small Subunit Ribosomal RNA". It matches the Rfam family "Bacterial small subunit ribosomal RNA", at positions 1 to 174 of the family's 1533-position model. Lineage: Bacteria; Bacillati; Bacillota; Bacilli; Caryophanales; Staphylococcaceae. The record is from RNAcentral.